AGCAGUUUGUCUUCAUUAUUUCCUCUGCCACAGAAUAAGCAAACAUACAAAUCAACAAAGUUGACAGAAAGAGUUCCUUUGCGCUGCCUCAUCUGCAUUCCAAAUGCUUCGGAUCUGUUUCCCUUGCGUCUUCGUGUCACCUCAUCCUCUUUAUCCUUUGCUCCCAACGACAGACCCAUCAUCUUGGGUCCAGCUCCAAAGAUCUGCAGCUUCUUUAGUUCAGUAUUUCUACUCAUUUCUCCUGCCUCCACCUGGGACUUGACACGUCUGGUUCUCUUCAGCACAACAUUCAUUCUUGAACCUUGCUUUGGUGAAGUCUGGGCAUCUGAGCUGAGGUCCUCAGCCUCCACUUUUUCCUUAAGGUUCAAGUUAGGCUUCUGGAUGCCCAUUAGGCUGACCCCGGAUUGGAAAAGCUCAUAGGGGUAUAAGAUCCGUUCAUAAUGAGACUUGAGUAACGAUCCUGUGCCUUUUCCCGGCAGGUAGCCAAGCCGACUUGCCACUUUAGACCAUUUCUUCUCUUUCGUGACUACCUCAAAGCCUCCUUUGCCAGCAACAAUCUUGCUCAAACCAUAGAGAUCCAGUAUUUUUC
This 589-nucleotide long non-coding RNA is filed under the name Gallus gallus (chicken). Lineage: Eukaryota; Metazoa; Chordata; Aves; Galliformes; Phasianidae. The record is from RNAcentral.